This 253-nucleotide ribosomal RNA is filed under the name uncultured bacterium. RNAcentral's name for it is "partial 16S ribosomal RNA". It matches the Rfam family "Bacterial small subunit ribosomal RNA", at positions 524 to 776 of the family's 1533-position model. The record is from RNAcentral.
UACGUAGGGUGCAAGCGUUGUCCGGAAUUAUUGGGCGUAAAGAGCUCGUAGGCGGUUUGUUGCGUCGGCUGUGAAAUCCCGAGGCUCAACCUCGGGUCUGCAGUCGAUACGAGCAAACUAGAGUGUUGCAGGGGAGACUGGAAUUCCUGGUGUAGCGGUGAAAUGCGCAGAUAUCAGGAGGAACACCGGUGGCGAAGGCGGAUCUCUGGGCCUUACCUGACGCUGAGGAGCGAAAGCAUGGGGAGCAAACAGG